Long non-coding RNA from Octopus bimaculoides (California two-spot octopus), 534 nucleotides. The record is from RefSeq and is a predicted model, not a curated record. Lineage: Eukaryota; Metazoa; Mollusca; Cephalopoda; Octopoda; Octopodidae.
UCGACGUAUUUGAGAUGCGGAAGCACAUUUAAUAACGAGAAAAUAUUUUAGAUUCGUAUUUUUCAUUUGCGUAACGAAAGAAUUGCAUUGCAUGCUCAUUGUAAAACUUCGAUCUGAAAAUCUGAACUAAAUUGAUAUAUAAACCAUAGGCGUACACCGGUAUGAACACAGUGCAUUUAUGCGCCAUUAUAUUAAACAUAUGGGAAGAGUAAACAUGCCACGCACUAAAAAUUCACAACAGUUAGAUUUUCAAAGAGGUCGUUUUGUUGGACAAUCUGAGGUGAUUGAAUAAGAAUUGGAAGAUACAGAAAUUCUAGAAGUCACCAAAGCAGCCGGGUGUCUAAGGAAAAUCGUAAUGGCCAGCCUUGUCACACUGUGGGUCACGCUGAAUUUCCCCGAGAACUACAUUAAGGGUACACAUGUCUGCGGAAUGCUCAACCACUUGCACGUUAAUAUUUCAGAAGCAUGCUGUUCCGUUGAUCGGAUCAACUCGAACCCUCGUCGUCGUAACCGCCGGAGUGCCACGAAAUAUAU